GGUGGCGAGUGGCGAACGGGUGAGUAAUGUAUCGGAACGUACCUUUCAGUGGGGGAUAACGUAGCGAAAGUUACGCUAAUACCGCAUAUUCUGUGAGCAGGAAAGCAGGGGAUCGCAAGACCUUGCGCUGAUUGAGCGGCCGAUAUCAGAUUAGCUAGUUGGUGAGGUAAAGGCUCACCAAGGCGACGAUCUGUAGCGGGUCUGAGAGGAUGAUCCGCCACACUGGAACUGAGACACGGUCCAGACUCCUACGGGAGGCAGCAGUGGGGAAUUUUGGACAAUGGGGGCAACCCUGAUCCAGCCAUGCCGCGUGAGUGAAGAAGGCCUUCGGGUUGUAAAGCUCUUUCGGCCGGGAAGAAAUCGCAUGCGCUAAUACCCUGUGCGGAUGACGGUACCGGCAUAAGAAGCACCGGCUAACUACGUGCCAGCAGCCGCGGUAAUACGUAGGGUGCGAGCGUUAAUCGGAAUUACUGGGCGUAAAGCGUGCGCAGGCGGUUUUUUAAGACAGGCGUGAAAUCCCCGGGCUCAACCUGGGAACUGCGCUUGUGACUGGAAGGCUAGAGUAUGGCAGAGGGGGGUGGAAUUCCACGUGUAGCAGUGAAAUGCGUAGAGAUGUGGAGGAACACCAAUGGCGAAGGCAGCCCCCUGGGCCAAUACUGACGCUCAUGCACGAAAGCGUGGGUAGCAAACAGGAUUAGAUACCCUGGUAGUCCACGCCCUAAACGAUGUCAACUAGGUGUUGGGUGGGUAAAACCAUUUAGUACCGGAGCUAACGCGUGAAGUUGACCGCCUGGGGAGUACGGCCGCAAGGUUAAAACUCAAAGGAAUUGACGGGGACCCGCACAAGCGGUGGAUGAUGUGGAUUAAUUCGAUGCAACGCGAAAAACCUUACCUACCCUUGACAUGUCCAGGAGCCUGAAGAGAUUUGGGUGUGCCCGAAAGGGAACUGGAACACAGGUGCUGCAUGGCUGUCGUCAGCUCGUGUCGUGAGAUGUUGGGUUAAGUCCCGCAACGAGCGCAACCCUUGUCGUUAAUUGCCAUCAUUUAGUUGGGCACUUUAACGAGACUGCCGGUGACAAACCGGAGGAAGGUGGGGAUGACGUCAAGUCCUCAUGGCCCUUAUGGGUAGGGCUUCACACGUCAUACAAUGGUCGGUACAAAGGGUUGCCAAGCCGCGAGGUGGAGCCAAUCCCAGAAAGCCGAUCGUAGUCCGGAUCGCAGGCUGCAACUCGCCUGCGUGAAGUCGGAAUCGCUAGUAAUCGUGGAUCAGCAUGUCACGGUGAAUACGUUCCCGGGUCUUGUACACACCGCCCGUCACACCAUGGGAGCGGGUUCCGCCAGAAGUAGGUAGCCUAACCGCAAGGGGGGCGCUUACCACGGCGGGGUUCGUGACUGGGGUGAAGUCGGAACAAGGUA
This 1416-nucleotide ribosomal RNA is filed under the name metagenome. RNAcentral describes it as "bacterial SSU rRNA". It matches the Rfam family "Bacterial small subunit ribosomal RNA". The record is from RNAcentral.